CCCAGAACCUGAAGGUGGGCAGAUCUGAAGUUCCUCUCUUAAUACGGGAUUUCCAAGGGUUGAGCUGCGCUCAGCGGCAGUCCCUGCAACUGACUGUUUGUACGUGUGCAGCUGAUGGUGGAUGCAAAGACAAACUUAUUUCCAAUGCAGUCAGUGGGCCUGGGACCAGGAGCAGUUGCACUAAUCAUCUUGGCGUUUUUACUUCUGCUACUUCUUCCACUGCUAUUGCUGUUGUGUCCAUGUGGCUCGGGAGCAAAGGGAUUUGCUGCAAUACCAGACUGCAGUGAAGAGGUGUUGCGUAAAUGGAACAGCGAAGGAGCAGCUCCGGAAGAGAAGCCAUUGCAAAGCAUCAUCCCACCCACUGCACUGGGGAACUCUAAAGGAGUGACUGCUGGAGCAGCAGCAGCAGCAGGAGCAGCAACAGGAGCAGCAGCAGCAGGAGGAGGAAUGAGUGCAGAGGAAGCUGCAGCAUGUGGAGGCAGCUCUGCCUCUAAUGUAAGAGGGCAUUGCAGCAUCGUUACCAGGGAAGGAUGGGAAGAGCAAAGACAUCUCCUUUCUGGUGCUGAUUACCAUGCCAGAGCUGCAGCAGCUGGAGGCUGUUGA
This 603-nucleotide long non-coding RNA is filed under the name Anas platyrhynchos (mallard). RNAcentral's name for it is "lncRNA (ENSAPLG00020011706.1)". Lineage: Eukaryota; Metazoa; Chordata; Aves; Anseriformes; Anatidae. The record is from RNAcentral.